RNAcentral lists this ribosomal RNA (507 nucleotides) under uncultured bacterium. RNAcentral describes it as "partial 16S ribosomal RNA". It matches the Rfam family "Bacterial small subunit ribosomal RNA", at positions 28 to 507 of the family's 1533-position model. The record is from RNAcentral.
GACGAACGCUGGCGGCGUGCUUAACACAUGCAAGUCGAACGGGCCUUGUCCCCUUUUUUUUGGGGGUGGGGUUAGUGGCGAACGGGUGAGUAACACGUGAGUAACCUGCCCCUCACUUCUGGAUAACCGCUUGAAAGGGUGGCUAAUACGGGGUGUUCUGGCCUGCUCGCAUGGGUGGGUUUGGAAAGAUUCGACCGGUUUUGGUUGUUUUGGUGGGGGAUGGGCUCGCGGCCUAUCAGCUUGUUGGUGGGGUGAUGGCCUGCCAAGGCUUUGACGGGUAGCCGGCCUGAGAGGGUGGGCGGUCACACUGGGACUGAGACACGGCCCAGACUCCUACGGGAGGCAGCAGUGGGGAAUAUUGCACAAGGGGCGCAAGCCUGAUGCAGCGACGCCGCGUGAGGGAUGGAGGCCUUCGGGUUGGGAACCUCUUUCGCCAGUGAAGAAGGUCCUGCUCUUUGUGGUGGGGUUGACGGUAGCUGGGUUAAUGAAGCGCCGGCUAACUACAUG